Molecule: ribosomal RNA, 488 nt
Filed under: fungal endophyte
Lineage: Eukaryota; Fungi
Description: eukaryotic LSU rRNA
Rfam family: 5.8S ribosomal RNA (bases 178-331)
Source: RNAcentral
AGCGGAGGGAUCAUUAAAGAACGCUCGUUCUCUACAAAACCUGUGAACUUCGGCUCCGGUUGCUUCGGCGGGCGGCCCCUGGGAGGGGCCGCAGCCCGCGAGGGCGCCCGCCGGGCCGCCAACUGUAUACACUAUUUAGCAAUCUUUGGCCCCUCUGAGACUUACCAAACGAGUCAAAACUUUCAACAACGGAUCUCUUGGUUCUGGCAUCGAUGAAGAACGCAGCGAAAUGCGAUACGUAAUGUGAAUUGCAGAGCCCAGUGAACCAUCGAAUCUUUGAACGCACAUUGCGCCCGCCGGCAUUCCGGCGGGCAUGCCUGUCCGAGCGUCAUUUCAACCCUCGAGCCCUGCUCGGUGCUGGGGCCCCGCGGCUGCCGCGGGCCCUGAAAAGAAGUGGCGGGCGCGCCUGGACCCGCAGCGCAGUAGUUACACCUCGCUCGCGGCGCCCCGGCGCGGCCCGGCCGUAAAACACCCAUUUUCCAAGGUGA